This 73-nucleotide transfer RNA is filed under the name Mustela putorius furo (domestic ferret). It matches the Rfam family "tRNA". Rfam says of the family: Transfer RNA (tRNA) molecules are approximately 80 nucleotides in length. Their secondary structure includes four short double-helical elements and three loops (D, anti-codon, and T loops). Lineage: Eukaryota; Metazoa; Chordata; Mammalia; Carnivora; Mustelidae. The record is from Rfam by way of RNAcentral.
ACCCAACUGGCUCAGUUGGUAGAGCAUGUGACUCUCGAUCCCGGGGUUGUGAGUUCGAGGCCCACUUUGGGCA